This 13575-nucleotide long non-coding RNA is filed under the name Brachypodium distachyon (stiff brome). Its description in RNAcentral is "long non-coding RNA (BDIS_LNC006015)". The record is from RNAcentral. Lineage: Eukaryota; Viridiplantae; Streptophyta; Magnoliopsida; Poales; Poaceae.
UUUGAACAUCAAAACAUGGGCUCAGAUAUGAAGAUAUUGCAAAGAAUUGCAUUACACUGAAAAUAGUUUUCCAGAUUGAAAAAAUAGACCCCUUUUAGUACAAAUCAUAUGAAGCCUACUAUACAGAAGCUAAAAGGAAAAAAAGAAUAUGUCACAAAACCAAUCCGCUCUUCAUUGUUAAGCAGAAAGUUGCUACAAGCAGAAAUACAAGGUAUGAUUCAUCGUAAGCUCUGGAAGGCCCAUAUCCGAUAACCAGAUUUAAACAUGAGCUCUGGAAGGUCCAGAUCGAAAUAGUUAGUCAAAUUGUGUUCUAACCUCGCUGCCCAGUGACUGGAUACUCUCAAAACCCAAAGCUAAAAUGCAUUAAUGGAUGCUCUAAAUUAUUGAGUACCAUCAGAUUGAAUCAUUGAAUAUUUAUGGUUUUGCUGCUGCCGGUUGAAAGGGAAUUUCGAUCUCCAAGUGUUUUGAUGUUAAUGGAUCUUUCACUGGUGCCAUCUUCAGAUAGAUUAAAACCAUCAGGCUUCAGCCGUCUGUUUUCAGUGCAAUUGAGUUCAUCCACUUUCCAAGCCUUCUAAAGUUUUUAGCCCACGAGUUGGCUAAAUUUGUUGUUGGUGUUGGCGAUCACCAACCAGCGUUUUUGUCUGUUAAUUUAUCGAGUUUGUAAUUGAUUUAGUUUCAGACAAUUUGCACUGGUCAUCUACUUAAUGGAAUACCAACGUUCCAUUAAAAUAUAUAAAUUUGUGUCAUGCUUCCAGAGGAUCACUAAGCAGAACUGACCAAACAAGGCAGAGGCACUUCAGUUGACAAACAUAUGAAAUGCUACACGUAAUAGAGGCCUUUCAUCUUCAGAGAGGCCAGAAUAAAAAUCUCUCUUGGAGAUCCCUUUCAAGUCCAACAUAUACUACUGACAUACUAAUUGGUUAUUUGCAUUCAUAAAUCAUGUGUAUUUUCUUCUUGCGCUUUUAACAUAAAAUCAGAUUAUUUGUUUAUCAGAAAACUGAUGCAAUACUUGCGUUCAGCAUUGCCAAUUGGAUACCAAAAGACAAUACAUUUUGAACGCCCAAACAUAGACUCAGAUAUGGAGACAUUGCAAAGAAUUGCAUUAUACUGAAAAAAAGUUUUCCAGAUUGAGAAGAACGGACGAAUUUUUUUUGACCACUUUUAAUACCAAUCAUAAGAAACCUACUACAGAAGCUAAAGGAAAAAGAAUAUGUCACAAAAACCAAUCCGCUCUUCAUUGUUAAGCAGAAAGUUGCUACAAGCAGAAAUACAAGGUAUGAUUCAUCGUAAGCUUCUCCCUUGCUGACUCUUCCAUCGAGAGAAAAAAAGAGGUCUCAAAUCACAAUAAGUGAUGGACCAGAUUUUUCCACAGGUCUUCUGAUUCAACUUCCCGACGUGCUUGCAAAAUACCUGAAAUCUUGCAUAGAGAAAUUGCAAACAAGUGUUCAUGUGCAAACAAUUAUUAAAAUCCACAUAAACUUCGGGUAGAGAGACACUUCCCACAAACUUAUCAAAGUAGCAAGCUAACAAUUGAGCACAAGCUUAAAUAACAGCAUUCAUUCAUUGCCAGUAGGGAAUGGAGAGUUAUGAGAUGGAUUCUAUUGUAUCAGAGUGUGGAUCACCAAUUACAGCUAUAUAAGUUUUUUUAACACCAACUCACUAGGUUGUUUGACUUCAUUGACAUGAACAAAAGAAAACAAGAGUAGCCAACAAUUUUAUUCCCUCAAUUUACCUUCCAAGAGCAGGUACUUAGUGAGUUACCUCGUCAUGAUCCGGAAUUACUCUCAUCACACAGUACUAGUCUUGACUGGCCAGCGCCCAAAGUAUUUCCUAUCUAAUUUAUAUUUGUGGAAAGCUUAUCUGGAGCUCGGCAAGGUAGUGCAAAGAAUGAGCAAAUCUGAAAUCUAGAUUGUAAAGCUAAAUAAGAGUUCAACUCCAGUACAAAGAAGUUUUCAUAUUCCAGUCAUAGGAAAAAAUAGUGUGCAGGGGAUGGGGGAGAGAACGGACUCACGCCAAAGAAACAAUUGAGAGACCUAUGCAAUGUAAGGUGAUCCCAGGACACAAAAGAUGUUCCUGUUAUCGAUAUUGCAUAGGUAGUAGUUUGUUUAGCCCCUGGACAUGAAUAUAGAAGCGCUGAUGACUAUUUCCUCCUGCUUGAGUAUGAACCCUCAAUCUUUUGAAUGGUCGUGCCCCUCUCUUUUCAUUUUUUUUUCCAUUUUUUUUUCCAUUUGUGUGUGAGAGAGGCAUCAACACUGAUGGUUAUAGCUCUUCAUGAUGGUAGAAUUUGCAGGAUUGAUGUCAAUGACAAUAAAGCAAUUUUGAAUCUUCUCGAGGUCUGACAAGUGUUCUUAAGGCAUAAUCAACUACUAUGGAAUAGCGAGAGAUGCACUAUAUAGGUAGGUAUGGUGUGAACACAUGGAAGAACUGGUUUAAUUUCUGGUAUUGGGAUAUUUCCACUGGCGGAUUAUGCAAUAUUCCGAUGGAGGAAUGCAAUGCCGAGUGUCAAAGAGGCUAGCAAAAAUUAAGUUACACAAAAAGAAUGACUGGCUUUGAAAGACUUCAGACUAGAGGAACAUCAAACUUAACAAUACGCACUGAAAUUCAGAUUGCAAUAAUAAAGGUUCAUGAAAUCUGCUCUCAUUAUGGCAUUGGUGGGACAGAAAAAAUAUUCCGGAUCAAUUAGAGAAUAAAAUCAGCUUCACCAUACUUAACUUGGGUGCUUUAUGAAUAAAAAUUAGCAAGCUCAUGCCUUUUUGCUCAAUCAAUGUUCACCACUCACCUAACAAGUUAUCUCUACCUUUUUUGUAUCAACUGAAAACUCUCUUAUGACAUUUAGUUGAUUGUGUGGCAAUGAAUUCACAUGUUAUAAGCAUGCUCAAAAGCUAGACUACCAACUAAUCAAGAAAGUAGGAAGUUCUCUAACCAAGGUCUCAUGAGGCAAUAAGAGUUUGAGAAUUGCACAGUGAGCACAAUCCGGCACAACUCCUGCAGAACAAAGAAAAAAAAUGUUAAGUACAUCAUAAAUGUCUCUCCUACAUUUUUCCCUCAAAAAACGUCAUAAAUGUUGUCCAGGGAGGAAUACAAAUAAAUUCUGAACUGGUAUUAGCUGAGAAUCACAUUGGUUUUCUUGAUAUUUCUUAAUUCAGUAGGGAUUUUUUUUUUGCUGGACUGAACUAAAAAAACAUCUACAUAUUGGUAAUUUGGUAUGGUAUAGCUGGAUUACAGUUACAUUUGCAAAUACUUACCAGAUUUACAGAUUUAUCCGUAGGAUGAAGAUACCACAGAAAACCCUCAUGUGCCAACUGUGUAUGGAUGGAGAGAAGUGGCUAAAAGAACGUACAACUCCCAGACAGAGCCCUGCAUAAUAAAUAAAAUAAACUUUUCUCAGACUUCAUAUUAUGAGGCAGUUAUGAGGUAAACUAAACAAGAAAAUUUUGACUUGAUGCGUGAAAUUAAGGAGAAGCUAUGUUAUGAGGUACAAUAAACUUUUCUCAAACUUUGAUCUUACAUACACGUACCAUAUUUAUCAAUUUAUGCUCAGGGAGAUACCACUGAAACCUAUGUUGUGCGAGCAGUGCAUGAAUACAGAGAAUUCUUCAAGGAUGGAAGAAUGUACAGGCAACUCCAUGGCCGAGCCCUGCUGGCCACUGAAAUUAAAACACACGCUGUUCAGACUUCAGAUAAGGAAGAACAUGGGUAAUGAUGGGGGUAUCCAAACAAGGACGUCUGUGUUUGUUCAAGUUAAACUCUUAUACUCAGCAGGUCAUAACAACAUAUGAAGGGAAAAGUGCCCCAGGGCAGGAAGAUUAAUUAUGCAUAUACUAACCAGCAUCAUGUGCAGGAUGCAGGACGGAAAAUAAAAUUUGAGACUGUCAUGCUUGCCCUGCAGAACAGUUCUUGCCUUCAUGGUAUUGCACAGAGAGGAUUGUUGGAGGCUAGAAGAAUACGCCAAUCGAAGAACCCUGCACGGUAGAUGAUAACAGGUGGGUCAUUUAGUUAGAUGAAAUGAUCAACAGCAAGCGCAAUAAAUCAAACAAAACAAAACAGUAGAAUGACAGUAAGCUCAAUGGGCAUGUAGUAAGCAGUUUAUGCGCACGAUGGAAGAUACAAAUUGAAAACAUCAUGCUUCAUGCUGGCAGCCGGAAACUGUUCUUUGAUAGAGAGGGCAUUCUAGGAGGCUACAAGAAUAUACAAACAGAAGGAGAACCCUGUACAGUAGAUUAAAACAAAUGGGUUACUUAUACAGAUUAAAACAAGUGGAUAUUGACCCUUACAAAGUUAGGAAUAAAAAAAAACAGGGGAAGGAACUGGAAAUAAGUACAAAGAUUGAGGUAAUUGUUUGUUCGUUACGUACCUUGGACUGCUCAGGCUCUGAUUAUCGGAAUGGUUCCUGUUAGCUUGCGGCACUCCCUUUUGAGCUCCUCACUGUUGCCAGAACAGACAACUAACUCUUGCAUUGAACUUGGAAGGCCGUCCUUGGGCAGAGACUUGAUGGCACCACAGUAGAAGAUCUCCAACCUUUCCAGAGAACUCGGGAGAGUGUUUGGCAGCGACUUGAUGGCACCACAGGUCUGGAUUUGUAAUUCCUGCAGAGAGCUCGGAAGGCUGGGCAGCGACCGGAUGGCAGAACACCACAUGAUCCUUAAUUUCUUGAGGCUGAUAAGCUUGUGUAGCCCUGCAGGGAGGCGCUGCAGCUUUUCCCCAAACAAAAAGCAGAGCACCUGGAGGGAGGUGAGGAGCUGAAGGGCCUCCUCUUGCUCCUUUGUCAAGCGCUCCGCCUCCUUGUCCAAACUGAGUUGCAAUCUGGUGAGGGUGGAAGAGAAGAGGCUGCAGAUGGGCGCGGCAAGGAAACCUGUGUUGCUGGCCGUCGCCAGAUCAACGAGCUUGGAGGAAGAGGAAAAAACCUCAGCGUCAUGCGGCCGUGAGGGAUCGGAACCGGCGAAGAAAUCGGAGGUAGUAUAGAGGGAUAAUUGUGUGAGACGGCCGUGGGCGAGGAGAGGCCACAAGCCGUCGGAUCUGGAAUCCCCCGGUAUGUUCAAGGUUAACUCGGUGAGAGAGGUGAGGUUUGAGAGGUCCUGUAGCGUCUCCAUGUACUUCACCCUGCGUAGGGUGAGAUGUUGCAGGCAGGUUGGGAAAGGGGGGAAGGAGGAGGAGGACGAAUAGGAGGAGAGGAACUCGGGAGAAUUGUAUACAUGCAGCGAGCGGAGGGAGCGGAGACGUCGGAGACCCCCUCCUCCUCCUCCUCCUCGUGCUGCUGCUUCUGCGUGGUCAUCGGGCGGUGGAUUGGGGAGUAAGCUCACCUUUGGACAGGCUUCAAUCCACAACUCUUGUAGCCGGGGAGGCAAGAGCAGCAGUCCUUCGGCUGCAGCUGCUGUUAUUGGUUCCUCCUCUCCAACUCCUGUCUGUUGCUGCUGCUCCCCAGAAACAGUUUCGGCAUGCUCAACCACACCCAACGCAGUUAUAUUCUCACACUCGUGUAUGGUCAGCUUUGAGAGGUUUGGAAGGAAAGAGAGCAGCAGCGUCAGUUCUUUCCCACUGGUAUCAGACGUUAUGAUCUCGAGGUCUUCGACUGGAAAUUGGUAACUGCCAUGAUCCUCACCUUCAACCGGCAGCAAAACACUACUAGAAUUAGAUAUCGUGAUCACCUUCAGAGAUGUUAGCACUAGGAGGUCAUCCAGCGGCAGGGGAGGGAUUUUAUUCAUGUGCAACUCUUUUAGAUCUGUUAGAUUAGAGAAAUUCAACGCAUUCCAAAACACAUCACCCUGACCACCGUCCUUUCCCGUAAUUUGCAAGUUUAAUUUCAGCCUGUAUUUUGUUCCGUAAGCUAGCUGCUCAAUAACCGAUCCCACUCGUUCUAUGCUAACAGAGAACGGAGCAUCACCCCGCCAAGGGAUAGGAGGCAAUGACUCUAGGUUCGGGCAGUCUUCAAUGAUGAGCUCAUGUAGUUUAGGAAACAAAGCCAUUUUCUCCUCCCACUCCCCCGCUUGGCAGCCAGUAGGUUGAGAAAACGGCAACUCCAUGAGUUUAGAGCAAUCUUUAAUGAUGAGCACUUCCAAGUGAGAAAAAAAAGGACAAGUGUCAUUUCCGACCCAUUUUGCCAAAAUAGAUAUUCCCUUUAAUUCAAGUUUUUUCAAAUUAUGGAAGCUUGGAGGUGAGAUACUGCUACAAUCCUGGUACUCUUCACCGGGCUCAGUAACCAUCCACAACUCUCCUACAAGUGGAAGAUUCUUCCAAGAUACACCAUCGAGACAAAGAGAUUCCAGAUUUUUAACCGAGAGAUUAGCACAUAGCCAUGUCGGGCAAUUUGUGCCCCCAUGCCCUUUAAUGCAUAGCUCCUGAAGAUCGCAAUGUGGCACAAGGCUUGCGAGAACAUUCUCUUCUUGGACAGGAUCCCUAUUAGAUUGCAUAGCAUCCCAUUCUAAUAUGAGUUCUCUUACGUGGUUCUUGUGGAUCAGUUUUAAGUCGUUUGCUUCCUCUUUUGUUUGUACCUUCUCAAUAUUAUAAAUGUGAAGUGAUCCUCCAAUCUCUCUCAAUGGCCCGAGCUGACUCGGCUCAAAACCCUUACUCUCCUUUCCCACUCUAAAUUCCUUUAGUUCCUGUAAGAAUUUUAGUUUCCCCACCCCAUAAAUGUCAGAAUGAUAUUUAAAUCUAUUUUUCGACACAAGAAAAUGACGCAAUUUUACAAGGUUGCCCAAAUGUCUAUUUGUGCUUAAGCAAUAAUACACAUCUUUUAGAUCAAUGACCUCUAAGUGAUACAAUCUAAACAAAGAACUUGGCAGGCACAAUUUCCCGUAAUUCUUUGACUUUAUUCUUAGGUAGCGAAGAUGGACGAGUUUUGAAAAGUUGUGCAAUAUAUCCUCCACAUUAUAUGCCGCUUUGUUAAAAAAUAUGACGCGAAGGGCUCUAGCUUCCAAAAACAAAUCACCAAACGUUUUUGCAAAGCUUCCAUUGUAAUCACCAAAUAACAUUAAUGUAUGUAGGUUUUCAACAUUUAAACAUUUAGUUAGUGCAGUCAAAUUCCCAUCAUAGUCUUCAAAAGACAUUUUAUUCUUGACAUCCGUGUUAUCUACGAUGAUUGACAAGUGACGUACGGUCGGGGGGAUUUGUAUGCCCCUCGCGUUCGAACUAUAGAUGCUGAUACACUCAUGCGAUGAAACAUUUACAGCCAACUCGUGCAGUAGGUCAUGGAUGACAUAAUAAGGACGUCCAUCUUCCUUUUUAUUCAUUUUGAAAAAUCCAUGAUUUACCAAUUCAUUUAAAUAGCAAAGUCCAACAUCUUCAAUUCUUUUUCUCUUCUGAUCAUAUGAACGUAAAAUAUCUAUUCCAAUCCACAAGUGAACCAACUCUUCGCUACCAAAUUCAUAAUCUUCAGGAAACAAAGAACAAAAAGAAAAACACUUUUGCAGAUGGAAAGGAAGAUAAUCAUAGCUAAGCUUCAAAGCAGGCAUAAUAUCAUCGUCGCUGGUUUGUGAUUCCCAUUCUUUACUUUCUAGAACGCUUCUCCAGUGGUUCAGUGUAAGUUUGUUUCUUAGUAAUCUACCAACAGUUUUUGCUGCAAGAGGAGAACCCUUCAAUUUGUCUACUAUUUUGCUCCCAACAUCAGAUAAUUUUGGAUGAUCAGCCCAUGGUUUUUGGUCACCAAAUACGCAUUCUUCGAAGAAUGACUUGAUAUCUUUAGGACAUAGAUGCUCCAGUUCUACUAAGCAUUUAGUUGUCUUAACGGUGUUUGCCACGCCGGGUAUUCGAGUCGUGACUAUAACCAUGUUACCUUUUGCUCCAUCUUGUUUAAAGAGAGCUAACAGUUUUUUCCAUUCAUUCUCAUGAUGUUGCCACACAUCAUCUAAGACAAGUAAAACCCUCUUUCCUUUUAAUCUUUGUUCGAUAAGCUCUUCGUCACUACAAUUUUUGUUUUCAUUGUUAACUUCGGGGAUUUUUUUCAAAAUAUCUUUUGCCAACCUAUUUGCAUCAAAAUCCAGAGAGACACAUAUCCAAAUGGGGACAUGGAAAUGGCUCUUCAUUUGUUCAUAUAUGUGUUUUGUGAAAGUUGUCUUCCCAAUACCGCCCGGGCCAACAAUGGGAAGCACGGUAAGUUCACAACAUUCACCCUUAACAAUUUCAUCUAUAACAAUAUCUUUCUGGUGUUCCCUCCCAUAUAACUUUGGUUCUAUAAUUUGUGGGCUGGUUUUGGGUCUGUCCACACCAAUGCCUUUGUUAGGGGUUUGGCUAGAGUUCAUUAUCUCUAGAUUAAGAAUGUUGAAUACCUGAGCACAUACUGGCUUCAGCUGCUCCGUGAUUUCCAAUAUCUUUCUAGACAUUUCCACCCUAUGAAACUUCAAUUUUGGUAUUUUUGUCUCGUGAUUUGUCUGUUUUAUCUUGGACGGCCCAGCACAAGCAAAUCGGAAACGGUGUUUAUUUCCAUUCGUGUUGGAAUUGCUCACCAUGCCGGUUUGUGCAUCAUGAUCGACAGAUGGUAAUAAGGAGCAGCAAGGUAAGUAUUUACCGACAUUGUGGGCAGCCUUAGGCAUGCAUCCACCGUUAACUUCCUGGACACCCAGCUGGUUGGCGGGUGGCGGUGAGGAGGAGCUGAUCUCACGCCGGCCACACGAGCGGAGCCCUGAGAGGCAUCCUUGUUUGCCACCGUCGUGUUGCUCGUCAGGAACGGCACGCCUGGCAGUAGGCGAGCACACAGGAAACUUGAGCUUGUUCACACAAGAUCUGGCCGUGUGGCGAACGUUGAGGGCGAGGUCUUGGACACAGCCUGCAGCAUGAGCGUCGGCGGCAUGAUAGGUGCCGUCGAGCUCAUCCUGGAUUCGGAAGUAAUCGAGCUCAUCCAGCACGUCCUCAGCCCCGUACGCAAGCUGCCGCAACUUGUCUAGCAUCUCACCAAGGGCAGGGUUAUGGAUCUCCCUGCCUCGGACGUUGUUCAGCAUCGCCUGUGCGUACAGCAGCUGCAUCUUCAGGGCCUCCAUGUUGGAUCCGAGCAUGGAGCUGGCACCCCAUGCCUCCAGCACGCCACCGGACAGCGGGCUCAGCGCCUUGCCCACCACCCAGCUCGCAGCAGGGAGGCCGACCGUCUCCAUCGAUCGUUUAGAUAUCAAUCUGUUAGCCUGUGUGGUCCUGCCUGCAUAUGAUCAAUCAGAAGUCAAGGUUAAGCUGAAGACACUGGAAGAGCCAGACCGGAGACGAGUACUCCUAGUUUGGUAUCAGGUGAAUGCGCGCUGCCUGCAAGACAGCUUAAAGAGGGGAGGGAAAACAAGAUAUGUACGUACCACCCGGCCGUACUGCUGCCACCGGGUGCCCGGAUGGCAAAGCUGCAACUGUCAGUGAUCACCAGUAGUCCUGAUUAUUGGCUGCUACUGUACUGCCAGAGGAGAAUUAGCUGAAGGAAGGUGAAGGCAAAGUGUGGAGGAGAUGCAACGGAGGAAUGCCGGAGCAGGUCAGGUGCAAAGAGGCGGGACGUGUGAACUGUGGUCUGUGGAAUAGUUCGUGCGCGCAUAUAUAGAGAAGAGAGCGGGCAGCUUCAAGUCAAGUCACCUCAACGGAUGGGAUCAAUCAAACUAAAAUAAUCCCUGCCAGCUACGCACUCGGUGGUGCGAAAUUAAAACAGAGACCUGGCUUCAGAUCUGGCAUCGGGUCUCGUUGUUGUAGUGUCUCUGGGAUGGAAUCGAGUCGUUGGGGUUUGGAGACGCAGACUCCACGACUGGGGACUGCACGCGAAAUACUAGAAUACUCCCUCGUGCCACAGCCCUGCCUGCCUCGUGCACGCGUCUGACUCCAGUGGCCAUUCGGGAGUCUGCCAGGCAGCUGCUUGUGUUCCUUGCAAGUGAUGAUCUGAACGGAAAGAGGGAGAAAUCCGGAACCUUAAACUGACUGAAAUCUCGAAUUAAUUCAAGAAAAGGGGCAGGGUGUUCGUCAGAAAAAGAAAAUGGAGAUGCGAGCAGCAGCUGCAGGGCAAUGUCAUGCCCCCAACGGAUUCUCGUGUCAAGUGCUCCAUCUGAUCUCGCGCUGGUCUGGCCGGUGGCAACGGGCGGGAGGAAUUAAACUAAUCACGGUACCGAUGCACUUGCAGAGAAAACAAGACAUGGCUUCAGAUCUCGCGUCAAGUGCUUUAGUUUAAUUCAACGGGCGCUCGGGCACAAUAGCUUAGGCAGAGGGGGAAGCACAUGGUACUUUUGCGCAUAAAACUGUUUUUGCGCGCUAGAUUAAUGAAUAGAGGUGGUCGUAUAUUUGGUUAUGGAUGUGUUUUAGACCAGGAUUUGGGUUGCCAAAUUUUUAUGUAAUGGUUUGUUUUUAUAAAAAUGUUACUAGGCCAGAAAGGUGGGCGAGCUAGACAUGAAAGACGAAGGCCAAGUGUGGACAGAACCAAACGAUUCCCUUGCUGCAGCGGCGCAUCCGCAUCUUACGCUAAAUUAAGAACAAAAAAGUAAGGUUUCAAAUCUCACGCUCGAGUACUGAUAUACAUCAUUUCAGUAUUGGAGUACUCCGCUCCACUUUCCAGCCUAGCAUGUGGGCGGAGACUUAGUAGCGUUAACCAAAAAGCCGAUGAAACGAGCGGGCGACGCUCAUGUCGAAACCAGAUCGACGCGCGUGCGGUUGCGCGGAAGAAUCGAGGAACGAGGUGGGUGGGUGCCCCUGCUGCCUGGCAUCGGGCCGGGUAAAUCAAACGACGCGCGCAGGAGCGCUUCCUCUGCUUUUCCCGGUGGCGUCGAGGAAUCCACGGGCGCUGGCGCGACGCACGAGCCACUGCGCGCCCUAUGCGUUUGCACUUUGCAGCGACCGAGCACCCACGGGCUUAAUUUAGUUUACUCUUCCCCGGGUGCUUAAGUUACUGCGCUGUGCGCUCUUGGCUUGGCAGCCUGCAUGGGCUCGGAUAGUAGAAUACUGUCACUCACGAGUUACUUUUGUCGUUUCUUGCGGCCAGCCCAAGGCCUAGCCCAAGUUUACUAAUGGCAGUACAGAUCGGACUGAUCGAGAUGAACUUGCAAAGACCUCCCCCAACGCAGCAGCUCUAAAAUAAGAUGUGAAAUGCUUGAGGUGGUCGAGAUGAAUGCUCCAAAAUGCUUCACUUUUAUGUGAACCAUUGCAAGUCAAGCACACAUACUGACCCACUAAUUCGACGUUCCUACAUGGUCUACAUUCAAUUUCACCUCAACAUGGUCAGUCAAGUUCAAGGUUCCGUAGCGCUGUAGCAAGUACUCCAGUACCAUAAUUGUGUGUGUAGCGGCGACCAAUAGCGAAAUGUCUUUAGGACAUGGCUGAUUGGACGUGCAUACAACACACCCUUUGCUAUGUUCAUCUGUGUCAUCAUCAUCGCGUGGAACUUUACAUGGAAAAAAUCUGAGCCCUUCUUAUCUUACUCUUAUACAGAAAAAUAAGCACUGAUCAAAGCCAACAUGGCAGCAGCAAGCUGCACACUGUCGUACCUGGAGCGGCUUGCUCGAGCGUUCUUUGUGCAUCGGCAUGCCAACACCAUGUGACAAACAAGAUUUGACAGAGAUUUGCCCAAGGGGCUAACGACGGUCCAGGUAAUUGGUAACGUUAAGCCUACGAUUUUCUGGGAUCUCAUGUCCCCCUAUGCGAGCGCUGCUAUUUCUGCUGAUGAAACGUGGGGUGUCCGAACUGCUAGCAUUCCAUUCCUCUUCGCGUGCAGAUACGCGAGCGUUGCUACUUCCUCAGUCCUGGCGCCUUCAGGCAUAAACAAAACGACAAAAGAGAACAAACGUCUCUGGGUUCAAGGGAUUGCCCGGGGAGAGAUGCGCAUACGGAGUGGGCCGACCGCGAUCUCCGGCGAAACUUUCGCGGGCCGCCUUGUGAUUCCGAAAAUUCUGAACCCUUCCUUUCCUACUGAAGUGAAACUUCGUCACUUGGUUGAGGGCCUACCAGAAGGAGCAUGCCGCUGGACGCGGUGGACAGAGUAGGCGCGGCGGCGCAGCGCAGGAACAGCUUACGGACGACCGGGAACGCCCGCGCCACCAUCUCGUCGUUGGCAACACAGGUCACAGGUCGGUCAACGACAUCUCGCACACCCUCCUCACCUUCAACGCAAAGCAAACACAGGUCGGUCAGGGACCAAAACAACUCAAAGUCCGAACUCCUAAUAACUCUGUCACAUUUGAUUUCGUUAAUUAAUGAAAUCGGGAGCUUGUUCUUCAUUCUAAAACAAGGACCAAAACAAUCCGAUUCAAACCGACGUGGCCGGCUCAGGGGAAGAAUGGGGGAAUUGGAGGGAGAUGCGCUUACGGACUGGAGGAGUUUGGGGUCGGAGGCGGGAUCGGCGGCGGCGGCGGAGUCCCGGGAUGCGGCGGAGAGCGAGCGGAGGUGGAAGUCGUAGCUGCCGUCGCCGGCGGCGAGCUUCGGCGAGGCCAUGGCCGUCGUCGUCGUGUUUGCCUCUGGCUACUGCUGGGUGGGAGAUGGAGAAGCUUUGGACUUUGACCCCUAAGAUUUUAAUUUCUUAAACCCAAUAAGAGCCCAAAUAGUCUAGCCUUACAAAUCUGGCUAUGCAGGGCCCAUAUCAGAAAACCAAAUCUGAGCUCCGUAAGGCCCAGCUCCAAAUAGUUAGUCAAACUGUGUUCUAACCUCGCUGCCCAGUGACUGGAUACUGUUACGUGUUUUUUUUUUGAUCGGGAGAUACCGUUACGUGUUGGUACGGAGUAUAAAGCUAAAACCAAAGCUAAAUAUACUUAAACUUAAACGGAUGCUCUAAAUUUAUUGAGUGAUAUCAGAUCAAAUCAUCGAAAACUUAUGAUUUUGCUGCUGCUGGUGCCAUCUUCAGAGAAAUCAAAACCAUCAGCAUUCAGUGCGAGUGAGUUCAUCCACUUUCCAAGUCUUCCAAUAUUUUAGCCCACAAGUUAGCUAUAAAUUUGCUGUUGGUACUGGCAAUAACCAGCCUUUUUGUCUGUUAAUUUCAUAGAGUUUGUAAUUGAUUUAGUGUCAGCCAAUUUGCACCGUCCAUCUACUUAAUGGUAUACCAACGUUCCAUUAAAAAAAUAUAAAUUUGUGAUGAUGCUUCCGAGAGGAUUACAAAGCAGAACUGACCAAAAAAGGCAGAAGCACUUCAUCAGGUGACAAACAUAAAUGCUACACGUGAUAGAGAUCAAAGCUACAACUCUCUCCUUCCAUCUUCAGAGAGGCCUGAACACAAAUCUCUUUUGGAAAUGCAUUUCAAGUCAUUUUGAACAUCAAAACAUGGGCUCAGAUAUGAAGAUAUUGCAAAGAAUUACAUUACAAUGAAAAUAGUUUUCCAGAUUGAAAAAAUAGACCCCUUUUAGUACCAAUCAUAUGAAACCUACUAUACAGAAGCUAAAAGGAAAAAAAAAGAAUAUGUCAAAAACCAAUCCGCUCUUCAUUGUUAAGCAGAAAGUUGCUACAAGCAGAAAUACAAGGUAUGAUUCAUCGCAAGCUUCUCCCUCGCCGACUCUUCCAUCGAGAAAAAAAAAGACGUGUCAAAUCACAAUGAUGGACCAGAUUUUUCCACAGGUCUUCUGAUUCAACUUAACCACGUGCUUGCAAAAUACCUGAAAUCUUGCAUAGAGAGAUUGCAAACAAGUGUUCAUGUGCAAACAAUUAUUAAAGUCC